AGAGUUUGAUCCUGGCUCAGAUUGAACGCUGGCGGCAGGCCUAACACAUGCAAGUCGAACGGUAACAGGAAGAAGCUUGCUUCUUUGCUGACGAGUGGCGGACGGGUGAGUAAUGUCUGGGAAACUGCCUGAUGGAGGGGGAUAACUACUGGAAACGGUAGCUAAUACCGCAUAACGUCGCAAGACCAAAGAGGGGGACCUUCGGGCCUCUUGCCAUCGGAUGUGCCCAGAUGGGAUUAGCUAGUAGGUGGGGUAACGGCUCACCUAGGCGACGAUCCCUAGCUGGUCUGAGAGGAUGACCAGCCACACUGGAACUGAGACACGGUCCAGACUCCUACGGGAGGCAGCAGUGGGGAAUAUUGCACAAUGGGCGCAAGCCUGAUGCAGCCAUGCCGCGUGUAUGAAGAAGGCCUUCGGGUUGUAAAGUACUUUCAGCGGGGAGGAAGGGAGUAAAGUUAAUACCUUUGCUCAUUGACGUUACCCGCAGAAGAAGCACCGGCUAACUCCGUGCCAGCAGCCGCGGUAAUACGGAGGGUGCAAGCGUUAAUCGGAAUUACUGGGCGUAAAGCGCACGCAAGCGGUUUGUUAAGUCAGAUGUGAAAUCCCCGGGCUCAACCUGGGAACUGCAUCUGAUACUGGCAAGUUUGGGUCUCGUAGAGGGGGUAGAAUUCCAGUGUAGCGGUGAAAUGCGAGAGAUCUGGAGGAAUACCGUGGCGAAAGGNGCNCCUGGACGAGACUGACGGCUCAGUGCGAAAGCGUGGGGAGCAAACAGAAUAGAUACCCUGGUAGUUCACNCNUAACGAUGUCGACUGGAAGUGUGCCCUUGAGGNNGGCUUCNNGCUACGCGUAAGUCGACGCCUGGGA
This 864-nucleotide ribosomal RNA is filed under the name uncultured bacterium. RNAcentral describes it as "bacterial SSU rRNA". It matches the Rfam family "Bacterial small subunit ribosomal RNA", at positions 8 to 878 of the family's 1533-position model. The record is from RNAcentral.